UAGGGAAUCUUCCGCAAUGGACGCAAGUCUGACGGAGCAACGCCGCGUGAGUGAAGAAGGAUUUCGGUUCGUAAAACUCUGUUGUUAGAGAAGAACAGCGCAUAGAGUAACUGUUAUGCGUGUGACGGUAUCUAACCAGAAAGCCCCGGCUAAUUACGUGCCAGCAGCCGCGGUAAUACGUAAGGGGCGAGCGUUGUCCGGAAUUAUUGGGCGUAAAGAGUGCGUAGGCGGCAAAUUAAGUCAGAUGUGAAAGCCCCCGGCUCAACCGGGGAGGGUCAUUGGAAACUGGUUGACUUGAGUGCAGAAGAGGAGAGUGGAAUUCCAUGUGUAGCGGUGAAAUGCGUAGAUAUAUGGAGGAACACCAGUGGCGAAGGCGACUCUCUGGUCUGUAACUGACGCUGAGGCUCGAAAGCGUGGGUAGCAAACAGG
This 429-nucleotide ribosomal RNA is filed under the name Bacteroidota bacterium. RNAcentral's name for it is "Bacteroidetes bacterium partial 16S ribosomal RNA". It matches the Rfam family "Bacterial small subunit ribosomal RNA", at positions 355 to 776 of the family's 1533-position model. The record is from RNAcentral. Lineage: Bacteria; Pseudomonadati; Bacteroidota.